Molecule: long non-coding RNA, 1123 nt
Filed under: Homo sapiens (human)
Lineage: Eukaryota; Metazoa; Chordata; Mammalia; Primates; Hominidae
Description: HSALNT0009186
Source: RNAcentral
GCCACUAUUUCCCAGUGUGGGGAAAACUUAUUCAGUCACUGGAACUCAAUCCCAACGUUUCUAGUUGUUUCUGGUCCAGUGGAGGCUCCAUGGGAACACCUAGUCUUUGUUGAAAUCUGUCCAGGGAUUCAGGCCUUCUCACAGACUGUGUCCCCUAUAGCACUAUGGUGCCAGCCAGUCUCUUCAAUGUGGUGUCCAUACUGAUUGGAGUGAAGAGUUAACUGCCAAGAUCCACGUGCCAGUCACUAUGAUCAGUGUCCCACUCUUUGUCUCAUUUCAUCCAAGGUUGGUCAGCCCUUCUGACACUCCCAAUUGUUCCCAUGGGAUGGGGCAGAAGUGGGCUUCCUGAGAAGAUUCCCAGACUGGUGGGGAGAUCGUAUGUCCACUUCCAACUCCCUCUUCUUACCUUAGAAACCAUGAGUCUAGGAAAAUUCUCUAUGAGCGACAUUAUGCCAGCUUGAUGGAGGGGGCUGCAAUGUCUGAAACAGCCAUUUUUCAUACCUGUCACAGCUUCUCUCAAUUCUGAGGGCCCCGGAGGUUUCUUCAAUUCUCCCUUGAAUUGUGGUGAACUCAGGGUUGUGUUCUUGUCUUUAAGUAGUUUCUAGUUGUAUUUUUAUGGAGGGAGUGAUAGUAGGGGAUCCUCCAUUUCAUUAUCUUGCUGAUGUUACUCCCUCAUUUCAAUUUAGCUUAAAUUUCUUCCUGAAGCUUUUCAACCACUUAAUUGAACCUUUUCUAUUGGAAACACAAAAUAAUAACAGGAAGUAAAACAAGGAAUUGUUAUAAUCAUAAAACAGAAACAUAAAAUAUAAAAACAACAUCUAUCUAUACCAGUUGCAUGUAAGUAAUUUUUUUGGUUGUUGCAGAAAUUAAACUGAUGAGGCUCUGCAUCAGUUUCUGUGGAAAAUGAAGAAUGAUUUUUAAUUGCAAAGAUAAUAAUGACAUCGGAAUCCCCAAAUCUAGCCCUGAUUUCCAGGCCUCUCCUUUUCUGACAUUUGUUGCAUGUACUCUCUUUACUCCUUCUCUCCUUGUGAUUUUUUUCUUACUCGGUUUUCUUCAGCACACCUCCCACCUCUCUUUUGGUCCUUCUGCCUCACUGAAUGCUUCCUUUCAGGUUGGCUUUUUU